This 253-nucleotide ribosomal RNA is filed under the name uncultured bacterium. Its description in RNAcentral is "partial 16S ribosomal RNA". It matches the Rfam family "Bacterial small subunit ribosomal RNA", at positions 524 to 776 of the family's 1533-position model. The record is from RNAcentral.
UACGUAGGAGGCAAGCGUUGUCCGGAAUUACUGGGCGUAAAGCGCGUGUAGGUGGUGGGACAAGUCUGCUGUGAAAGCGCCUGGCUUAACCGGGCGAGGUCGGCGGAAACUGUCCGACUAGAGGACGGUAGAGGGGGGUGGAAUUCCCGGUGUAGUGGUGAAAUGCGUAGAGAUCGGGAGGAACACCAGUGGCGAAGGCGACUAUCUGGGCUGCAACUGACGCUGAGGCGCGAAGGCUAGGGUAGCAAACAGG